GACGUAGGGCGCGAGCGUUGUCCGGAUUUAUUGGGCGUAAAGAGCUCGUAGGCGGCUCAUUGCGUCAACCGUGAAAACCUGCCGCUCAACGGUAGGCUUGCGGUUGAUACGGGUGGGCUGGAGUUCGGUAGGGGAGACUGGAAUUCCUGGUGUAGCGGUGAAAUGCGCAGAUAUCAGGAGGAACACCGGUGGCGAAGGCGGGUCUCUGGGCAUUAACUGACGCUGAGGAGCGAAAGCGUGGGGAGCAAACAGG
This 253-nucleotide ribosomal RNA is filed under the name uncultured bacterium. RNAcentral's name for it is "partial 16S ribosomal RNA". It matches the Rfam family "Bacterial small subunit ribosomal RNA", at positions 524 to 776 of the family's 1533-position model. The record is from RNAcentral.